RNAcentral lists this ribosomal RNA (253 nucleotides) under uncultured bacterium. RNAcentral describes it as "partial 16S ribosomal RNA". It matches the Rfam family "Bacterial small subunit ribosomal RNA", at positions 524 to 776 of the family's 1533-position model. The record is from RNAcentral.
UACGAAGGGUGCAAGCGUUACUCGGAAUUACUGGGCGUAAAGCGUGCGUAGGUGGUUCGUUAAGUCUGUCGUGAAAGCCCCGGGCUCAACCUGGGAAUGGCGAUGGAUACUGGCGGGCUAGAGUGCGGUAGAGGAGAGUGGAAUUCCCGGUGUAGCAGUGAAAUGCGUAGAGAUCGGGAGGAACACCAGUUGCGAAGGCGGCUCUCUGGACCAGCACUGACGCUCAGGCACGAAAGCGUGGGGAGCAAACAGG